GGGACGAACGCUGGCGGCGUGCUUAACACAUGCAAGUCGAGCGGUAAGGCCCUUUCGGGGGUACACGAGCGGCGAACGGGUGAGUAACACGUGAGCAAUCUGCCCUUCACUUUGGGAUAACCUCCGGAAACGGUGGCUAAUACCGAAUGCGACCAUUCCCUGCAUGGGGUGAUGGUGGAAAGUUUUGGCGGUGGAGGAUGAGCUCGCGGCCUAUCAGCUUGUUGGUGAGGUAAUGGCUCACCAAGGCUUCGACGGGU
Molecule: ribosomal RNA, 257 nt
Filed under: uncultured soil bacterium
Lineage: Bacteria
Description: partial 16S ribosomal RNA
Rfam family: Bacterial small subunit ribosomal RNA
Source: RNAcentral